This is a non-coding RNA of Paramuricea clavata, 773 nucleotides long. Lineage: Eukaryota; Metazoa; Cnidaria; Anthozoa; Malacalcyonacea; Plexauridae. The record is from the annotation of a GenBank genome assembly.
AACUAGUUACUCCUAAUCCAUUUCAAUAUGUCGGAUUUACUAGGGAAACUAGCAGCUAAUUAGAGAAUGCACAUUUAUACUACUGUAUAUAAGUAAUUACACAAAAAUAACCCUGGGUUAUUUAGCCACCUAGCAUGGUUAAAUUAAGUAGGAAAUCCUGGUCUAAUCAACCAAACUGUAGUCAGAUAAAGGUUAAAAUAAUCAGGGAAUUUCACCAGGAAUAUUAAAUUAACCCAAAUAGGGUUUAAUUUCUUAUUUCUUUAUUUUUUUUAGGGUUAACCGGAUCAGUGUCUUUAGACUGCAUCUAAGCAUCUUUAUAGUAGAAAACCUUGUCUUGAUCAACCUUUUCACUGUAGAAGACAUGAUGUCAUUGGGUUAUUCCAGAAAACAUCCAUACCUCCCCAGAGGAAGUUUGAAGUUACAGUAACCCCCCAACCACCUUCAAUCCGAUGUCAUAAUACACUUACUAUUAUCAUCCCGCAAUUUCCUCCAUGGAAGGGGUGUGGAUAUUUUUCGGAACAACCCAUUAGAUGAAGCGAGUUUAUUAGCAAAAAACAAAGGAAAACUAAUUUGCAAUCACUACUGUGACAUAUUCAAAGUUAGUACUAUGUCUUCACAUAGUUGAUAUAAUACAAAAAUGUUGCAGCAGAAUAUUGUUUCGUGUUCUUUCUUAUUUGUGUUUUCAGAAAAUGCUAACUUGAGAUUAUUAAGAAGUGAGCUUUCCUCAGAACAGAUCUAUAUAGCUUAAACCCCUUAGUGGCAGUUUACAAAUC